Molecule: small RNA, 26 nt
Filed under: Arabidopsis thaliana (thale cress)
Lineage: Eukaryota; Viridiplantae; Streptophyta; Magnoliopsida; Brassicales; Brassicaceae
Description: ATSL076460
Source: RNAcentral
AAAUUAAGUAAAAUCUACAUGUGUAU